This 433-nucleotide ribosomal RNA is filed under the name uncultured bacterium. RNAcentral describes it as "partial 16S ribosomal RNA". It matches the Rfam family "Bacterial small subunit ribosomal RNA", at positions 29 to 507 of the family's 1533-position model. The record is from RNAcentral.
AACGAACGCUGGCGGCAUGCCUAACACAUGCAAGUCGAACGAGACCUUCGGGUCUAGUGGCGCACGGGUGCGUAACGCGUGGGAACCUGCCCUUAGGUUCGGAAUAACUCCCCGAAAGGGGUGCUAAUACCGGAUAAUGUCUUCGGACCAAAGAUUUAUCGCCUUUGGAUGGGCCCGCGUUGGAUUAGCUAGUUGGUAGGGUAAAAGCCUACCAAGGCGACGAUCCAUAGCUGGUCUGAGAGGAUGAUCAGCCACACUGGGACCGAGACACGGCCCAGACUCCUACGGGAGGCAGCAGUGGGGAAUAUUGGACAAUGGGCGAAAGCCUGAUCCAGCAAUGCCGCGUGAGUGAUGAAGGCCUUAGGGUUGUAAAGCUCUUUUAACCGGGAUGAUAAUGACAGUACCGGGAGAAUAAGCUCCGGCUAACUCCGUG